This 302-nucleotide unclassified non-coding RNA is filed under the name uncultured Auxarthron. RNAcentral's name for it is "sequence contains ITS1". The stretch from base 1 to 105 matches the Rfam family "5.8S ribosomal RNA", at positions 50 to 154 of the family's 154-position model. Lineage: Eukaryota; Fungi; Ascomycota; Eurotiomycetes; Onygenales. The record is from RNAcentral.
GAAAUGCGAUAAGUAAUGUGAAUUGCAGAAUUCCGUGAAUCAUCGAAUCUUUGAACGCACAUUGCGCCCCCUGGUAUUCCGGGGGGCAUGCCUGUCCGAGCGUCAUUGCAACCUUCAAGCGCGGCUUGUGUGUUGGGUCUCGUCCCCCGUGGACGGGCCCGAAAGGCAGUGGCGGCGUCCCGACAUGGUGCCCGAGCGUAUGGGAAUCCUCUUCCGCUCGAAUCGGCCCAUGCGGCGCUGGUCGUAACCAAAUUUUUUUACCGGUUGACCUCGGAUCAGGUAGGGAUACCCGCUGAACUUAA